Molecule: ribosomal RNA, 220 nt
Filed under: uncultured bacterium
Lineage: Bacteria
Description: partial 16S ribosomal RNA
Rfam family: Bacterial small subunit ribosomal RNA
Source: RNAcentral
UAAUGUCUGGGAAACUGCCUGAUGGAGGGGGAUAACUGCUGGAAACGGUAGCUAAUACCGCAUAACGUCGCAAGACCAAAGAGGGGGACCUUCGGGCCUCUUGCCAUCAGAUGUGCCCAGAUGGGAUUAGCUAGUAGGUGGGGUAAUGGCUCACCUAGGCGACGAUCCCUAGCUGGUCUGAGAGGAUGACCAGCCACACUGGAACUGAGACACGGUCCAG